UCAUCCUCCCCGUGUUUUGGUGACCGCCCUUGUCCUUCCCCCCAGGUUGGGCAGCACCACCCCCCCGAAGCCUCUGGAGGAAAAGCCCGGGGUGUCCCUCGGCAUGUCCCACCUCGCGGCGGGGUGCGCGGCCGUCGGCCUUCGGAAGAAGUUGGGCGGCCCCGGGCGGCCCCGGAGACGAGUGGUGCAGCGGUUGUAAGCAAGAUGCGGUAGCACGUGACCCCGGAACGGAAACCCUGAUGCUGGUUCCCCGCCACUCCUGUGCUCUUUUUUCUGACACUUGGCUCCAAGCAGAUGCAUCACAGGAUGAAUGAAAUGAACUUGAGUCCAGUGGGGAUGGAGCAGCUGACUUCAUCCUCUGUGAGCAAUGCCUUGCCAGUCUCAGGGAGUCACCUGGGGUUGGCUGCCUCGCCCACUCACAAUGCUAUUCCCACCCCAGGCCUGCCAGUGGCAAUUCCAAACCUGGGUCCUUCCCUGAGCUCUCUGCCUUCUGCUUUGUCUCUGAUGCUCCCAAUGGGUAUUGGGGAUCGAGGGGUGAUGUGUGGGUUACCCGAAAGAAACUAUACCUUACCUCCACCACCUUACCCCCACCUGGAGAGCAGUUACUUCAGAACCAUUCUACCUGGCAUUUUAUCUUAUUUAGCUGACAGACCACCUCCUCAGUACAUCCACCCUAACUCUAUAAAUGUUGACAAUAAUACGGCAUUAUCUAUUACCAAUAACCCUUCAGCACUAGAUCCCUACCAGUCCAAUGGAAAUGUUGGAUUAGAACCAGGCAUUGUGUCAAUAGACUCUCGCUCUGUGAACACACAUGGCGCCCAAAGUCUUCAUCCCAGUGAUGGCCAUGAGGUGGCCUUGGACACAACAAUUACUAUGGAGAACGUCUCUAGGGUUACCAGCCCGAUCUCUACAGAUGGAAUGGCAGAAGAGCUUACGAUGGACGGUGUUACAGGCGAGCAUUCUCAAAUCCCGAACGGCUCCAGAAGUCAUGAACCUCUGUCUGUGGAUUCUGUGAGCAACAAUCUUGCAGCAGACACUGUAGGACAUGGUGGUGUGAUACCCAUUCAUGGGAAUGGCCUGGAGCUCCCUGUGGUCAUGGAGACAGACCACAUUUCAAGUCGGGUCAGCGGGAUGUCUGACAGUGCCCUCAGUGACUCCAUCCACACCGUGGCCAUGAGCACCAACUCUGUAAGCGUGGCACUCUCUACCUCACACAACCUCGCCUCCCUAGAAUCUGUUUCCCUCCAUGAAGUUGGCCUAAGCCUAGAACCUGUGGCUGUCUCCUCCAUCACCCAGGAGGUUGCUAUGGGGACAGGUCAUGUAGAUGUAUCUUCAGACAGUCUUUCUUUUGUACCACCUUCACUGCAAAUGGAAGACUCCAAUUCAAACAAGGAAAAUAUGGCAACCUUGUUUACAAUUUGGUGCACACUCUGUGACCGAGCCUAUCCUUCAGACUGCCCUGAUCACGGACCAGUGACUUUUGUUCCUGACACUCCGAUAGAGAGUAGAGCGAGGCUUUCUCUCCCAAAGCAGCUUAUUCUCCGCCAGUCCAUUGUGGGAGCAGAAGUUGUUGGUGUCCUUCCACUGACAGGUGUAUGGACUGGAGAAACCAUUCCUGUGCGGACUUGCUUUGGGCCUCUUAUUGGCCAGCAGAGUCACUCCAUGGAAGUAGCAGAAUGGACAGACAAGGCAGUUAACCACAUUUGGAAGAUAUACCACAAUGGUGUCCUUGAAUUCUGCAUCAUUACAACUGAUGAAAAUGAAUGUAAUUGGAUGAUGUUUGUGCGCAAAGCCAGGAACCGGGAAGAGCAGAAUUUGGUGGCUUAUCCCCAUGAUGGAAAAAUUUAUUUCUGCACCUCACAAGAUAUUCCUCCUGAAAACGAACUGCUUUUUUAUUAUAGCCGGGAUUAUGCGCAGCAGAUUGGAGUUCCGGAACACCCAGAUGUGCACCUCUGUAACUGUGGCAAGGAGUGCAGCUCCUAUACAGAGUUCAAAGCCCACCUGACCAGCCACAUCCAUAACCACCUUCCUAGCCAGGGCCACAGCAGCAGCCACGGGUCAAGCCACAGCAAAGAAAGGAAGUGGAAGUGCUCCAUGUGCCCCCAGGCAUUUAUCUCUCCUUCCAAACUUCACGUCCAUUUCAUGGGUCACAUGGGCAUGAAGCCCCACAAAUGUGAUUUUUGUAGUAAAGCUUUUAGCGAUCCCAGCAACCUGCGGACCCACCUUAAAAUACAUACAGGUCAGAAGAACUACCGUUGUACUUUGUGUGACAAGUCUUUUACCCAGAAGGCUCACCUGGAGUCCCACAUGGUCAUCCACACAGGCGAGAAGAAUCUCAAGUGUGAUUACUGUGACAAGUUGUUCAUGCGGAGGCAGGACCUCAAGCAGCAUGUGCUCAUCCACACACAAGAACGCCAGAUCAAGUGUCCCAAAUGUGAUAAGCUGUUUUUAAGAACAAAUCAUUUAAAGAAGCAUCUCAAUUCACAUGAAGGAAAACGGGAUUAUGUCUGCGAAAAAUGUACAAAGGCUUAUUUAACCAAAUAUCAUCUUACCCGUCACCUGAAAACCUGCAAAGGGCCCACCUCCAGUUCAUCAGCACAAGAGGAGGAGGAAGAGGAGGAUGACUCAGAGGAGGAAGAACUAGCGGACUCUGUGGGGACAGAAGACUGUCGGAUGAACAGUGCUGUGUAUUCAGCGGAUGAGUCUCUUUCUGCACAUAAGUGAAAGAAGUCAGCUGUUUUUGGACAGAAAAUGCAAAAGGGAAAAACACAUAACCAAUUAUCCACUACAAUGGUUUUUAUAUAAAAUGGUUUCCGAUUUCCUUCCAGCCAACAGUCAAAACAGACUGAAUGGGAAUGGAUAAAGCACUUUUAGAGGAGUAUCCUGAUGAAAACACUUUAAAACAGAUUGAGAAAAGAGAGCAUGUGUCCUGUUUUUAAGUGAUGUGAGGGGAGGAAAGUGUCAACUUUUGAGGAUUAUUCCUACAGUCUCAUUUUGUGGAAGGAGAGGAAUGAGUCUUGAGGGAAAAAUCGGAUACAACUGGAAGGCUUUUAAAGUUAGAAGUGGAGAGAGCUUCCUACGUGUUAUAGCUUUGAGGUCACAUUCAAAUGUGCGCCUGUAUAACAUCGUUUCGACAAACUGCUUCCUGAGUGUGCCGCUCAUCUGCCCUCUUCCCUAAGGUGGUCGGUCUCAUCUGUUGCUGCUGUUGGGAUCAGUCUGUUGGGUAAAGCGUCACGUUGAGAAGCAGGAUAUUUUGAAUAUAAGCUCUGGAGCCCUGCUGAAGGUUCUCCAGUCUGGGCUUUGCUGUAUGAUGAUCAUAAACAUGCUAGAAGCUGUCAGCCCCUCAAGUAUGUCAACUUCCAGUAUCUGAUCACCAAACUACACCUUAGAUUCACUCAAAAACGACAUAUCUUCAGGUACACAAGUGGUUAUUUGUUAUGGGCUGGAUUGUGUCCCCCUAAAUCCAUAUAUUGAAGUUCUCACCCCCAGGUGACCGCAUUUGGAGCCUAAUGUCAAAACAAACAACAACAAAAAAAGAGGAAGCCUGGAAAACAGUUUUAAGUGAGAAUGUAGCUAUUGCUUAUUUACUGCUCUCUCUUCCAUUUUUUACCUUAGACUUAAAUGGCAUGUUCUGAGUCCUCAUAAGUUGAGUAAAUUAGUAACUGCUCCUUUGACAAGAUUUUACUUUGAACCUUCUCUGCCUAUUGCAGGUGGUCGGUCUCAUCUGUUGCUGCUGUUGCUUUUUCUUCAAAGAAGUGGUUAAGUUAAAAUGAGUCCCUUAGGGCAUGCCUUAUUUCAACAUGACUGGUGUCCUUACAAGAGGAAAUGUGGACACAGUCACGCACAGCGGGAAGACCAUGUGAAGGCAUGGAGAAGAUGGCCACCUGUAAGCCAAGGAGAGAGACCUCAAAAGAAACAAUUCUGACACUUAAUCUUAGACUUCUGGUCUCCAGAAUUGUGAGAAAAUUGAUUUCUCUUGUUUAAGGGAGUCGAUCUGUGGCACUUUGUUGUGGCAGCCUGGCAAACGAAACAGUGUCCAACCAAUAUACCAUCUUUAUGACGAUUGCUUGUAGAGGAGCAACUUCCGGAAUAGUGAUUACAGUUAGCCUCGGUUUUAGAAGUCAUCGUGAGCAACGUAAACGGCAGUAACAAUUUGUAGCAGAUUUCUGUACUACUGGAAGGGACAGAAUUAGUCCUCAACUAAUUUUGCUCCUUCGUUUCCUUCCACACGCACACUUGAGAGUCAUGAAGCCCCCAGGUCUGUGUAGUUCUCAGACAAGGACGACUUUCCUCUCAAAAACCAUGUGAGUGCCGGUACGGUUUAAGGCAUUGCAGGGUAACAGAAACUGUUCGGACUCUGCCCCGGCCCUCUGGAAGCAGAACCUUGCAAAGCUGGCUGGCCGGCUGGAUCACCUGAGGAGUGGAGAAAUGUCAGGUGUCCAGGGUGGCCCCAGGUGACCCUGAAGCAGUCCACGGGAGUCACAUUGGAGACCACGCCAGGUGCAGAUGCAGACACCUAUACCUAAUGCAAAUCAACAAUGGCAGGUGUUAUAGGUACAAGUAUCAAAAUCUGGGAGCAGGAGAGAAAAAGUCUAAGAGAAGACAAAAGUUGGUAAGAAUCCUGCAUCUGUUACAUGGUAAAAUAAAGCUGAGGCAACACGUUUGAA
Pteropus alecto (black flying fox) is the source of this 4667-nucleotide RNA transcript. It is a transcript of the gene named PR/SET domain 4, with no coding region annotated. NCBI's taxonomy places the organism in Eukaryota, Metazoa, Chordata, Mammalia, Chiroptera, Pteropodidae. The record is from RefSeq and is a predicted model, not a curated record. The transcript is spliced from 14 exons.